GGGACAGCCAAUCGCGCAGCUGUCUGACCUGUCACCAGGGAGCUCCUGACAUGGGAGACCUGUGUGUUCCGGCAGAGGCUCUGUGGUUCUUGUCCACCUCACGUCCCAUGUGCCUGUUGACCAUUGCUCUGGGGAUGGGAGCUGACUGUUCUUUCCAGCAUGGGGUCUGGGUUAAGGAAGCCCCAUUUGAAGACAAAUGGAAGGUGUGAAUUCAAGAUGCCACCACAAUAGGAAAUGAGUUUUUUCUUAGUCUGAAAGCUUAUCAAUUUAAAAAAAAAACACACACACACACACCAAAAUCUCUUUGUUUUGCUGAUUCUUUUAAAACUGUUUUUCUGUUCCUCAUUUCAUUUAUUUGCUCUUGGAGUCUUCUGCUUUACUUUAAACAGCUUAUUAAAGUCAAUUCACUAUUAACAAAAUCUCCCAUAGGAUGAAAAAAUUUCUCCAUCUCAUUAUAUCGGAAACAAAGUUACUUACAACUGACCUUAAGUAUGUAAAUAGAGAUCUUACUGUGCCCUAUUUUAUUUUUAUUUUUUGUCGGGUAUCCAUUAGUCCUUAUGGUUUCUUUUUCUUCUUCUUCUUUUUCUAAGUUAAAAGAAGAGGUUAUUACUGAAAAUAAGUCCAGCUUAAAGAGAGAUUCUUUAAGUGAAUGGUAUACCAAGUUACUAAGCCAGAUGUAUAGAAAUAACAUUAUGAGGGGCUGGGGAUGUGGCUCAAGCUGUAGCACGCUCUCCUGGCAUGCACGGGGUGCUGGGUUCGAUCCUCAAUACCACAUAAGAAUAAAGUAAAGAUAUUGUGUCCACCUAAAACUAAAAAAUAAAUAUUUAAAAAAGAAAUAACAUUAUGACCAUGAACUUUAAUCAAAAUACCAACGUGACAUGUAAUUUAAAAUGACUUCAUACAUUUUGUGUAAUAGAGUUGUGAAAC
This 927-nucleotide long non-coding RNA is filed under the name Marmota monax (woodchuck). The record is from RNAcentral. Lineage: Eukaryota; Metazoa; Chordata; Mammalia; Rodentia; Sciuridae.